This is a non-coding RNA of Epinephelus lanceolatus (giant grouper), 327 nucleotides long. NCBI's taxonomy places the organism in Eukaryota, Metazoa, Chordata, Actinopteri, Perciformes, Serranidae. The record is from RefSeq and is a predicted model, not a curated record.
CACCAAACAUCAUCGCUCGAGGCUUAUCACUCUGUAGUGAUACGUUUUGUUCCCAAAAGUGUGGUGUUUCCGUUUUUGGGAAUGCUGUGCAGACUUUACUUGUCAGCCAUGCAUUUUAUAACGAGAACGCUGAGCGCCCAUAGAAGCAGGCUGAUGGGAAACCCGUCUUCAAGCUUCACUGGCCAAAGUCUAAAGAGGGAACAUGCACAGUGAAGCCACUGAAGGAAGAUCCAACAUUCAACUAUGUGGAUGAACUGAUGGACCUGGGGUCCGUUUCACAAAGCAGGUUCAACAAACUCUGAGUCUAAUCCUGAACUCUGAGUUGAU